This 253-nucleotide ribosomal RNA is filed under the name uncultured bacterium. RNAcentral's name for it is "partial 16S ribosomal RNA". It matches the Rfam family "Bacterial small subunit ribosomal RNA", at positions 524 to 776 of the family's 1533-position model. The record is from RNAcentral.
UACGGAGGAUGCGAGCGUUAUCCGGAAUCAUUGGGUUUAAAGGGUCCGUAGGCGGGCUGAUAAGUCAGAGGUGAAAGCGUUCAGCUCAACUGAGCAACUGCCUUUGAAACUGUUAGUCUUGAAUGAUUGUGAAGUAGUUGGAAUGUGUAGUGUAGCGGUGAAAUGCUUAGAUAUUACACAGAACACCGAUAGCGAAGGCAUAUUACUAACAAUUUAUUGACGCUGAUGGACGAAAGCGUGGGGAGCGAACAGG